GACGUAGGGCGCAAGCGUUGUCCGGAUUUAUUGGGCGUAAAGAGCUCGUAGGCGGUUUGUCGCGUCUGCUGUGAAAACUGGAGGCUCAACCUCCAGCCUGCAGUGGGUACGGGCAAACUAGAGUGCGGUAGGGGAGAUUGGAAUUCCUGGUGUAGCGGUGGAAUGCGCAGAUAUCAGGAGGAACACCGAUGGCGAAGGCAGGUCUCUGGGCCACUACUGACGCUGAGAAGCGAAAGCAUGGGGAGCGAACAGG
This 253-nucleotide ribosomal RNA is filed under the name uncultured bacterium. Its description in RNAcentral is "partial 16S ribosomal RNA". It matches the Rfam family "Bacterial small subunit ribosomal RNA", at positions 524 to 776 of the family's 1533-position model. The record is from RNAcentral.